GAUUUCUCUAAUACAAUAGUUGUAGAUGGUCAAGUCCAUAUCUUUGAUUCGACCAAAUGGACCUUGAUUGUGGCUUAGUGGUUGAACCCAAAUCAUUAGGUUGGUCCAAUCAAAACUAAUUAACCAAUUGAUAUCUAAGAUAAGUUUGGUAUUUUGAUCAGUGAUUUUUAAUUGAGAGCAGCUUACCUAGCUAUUUCGAUGGUGUCUAAGGCAAGCUUAGCAGACCCUC
RNAcentral lists this long non-coding RNA (229 nucleotides) under Elaeis guineensis (African oil palm). RNAcentral's name for it is "long non-coding RNA (EGUI_LNC076557)". The record is from RNAcentral. Lineage: Eukaryota; Viridiplantae; Streptophyta; Magnoliopsida; Arecales; Arecaceae.